GGUUGCGAUCAUACCAGCACUAAUGCACCGGAUCCUAUCAGAACUCCGUAGUUAAGCGUGCUUGGGCGAGAGUAGUACUAGGAUGGGUGACCUGUCACACCCCCAAAAUCCACCCG
Molecule: ribosomal RNA, 116 nt
Filed under: Helianthus annuus (common sunflower)
Lineage: Eukaryota; Viridiplantae; Streptophyta; Magnoliopsida; Asterales; Asteraceae
Source: RNAcentral